GAACAUGUGCUAAUACCCCCAUCUUUAUGUUUCUUAACUCAGUUGGUUGUACUCAUGCUAGAUUAACAUGAGUGACCGUUGUACCAAAAAAUAAAAAAUCCAUUCUUACAUUAUGAUGACCAUCACUGAUUGGGCUGCUAGUUAGUUUUGGUUGCAAUCGUGAACCAGAAAUGAAGGAAAAUGUAACUGCCACUUCGAAGAGAGGCCAUGGCUUCUCUAGACCAUGCAUACUUUUGAACAUGUUUGUAGGUUCAUAGGUUCAUUUUGGAGCAGACUAUCAACUCAUAUGCUAUGCCAUGGAAAGGUAAUAAUAUUCAAGCAUGAUGCUCACAUGGGAAGAUGGAGUUGUAUUUUUCAGUCAUCAUCUGUAAAGACUUGUGUACUGGAGGAAGAAAAUUAAAAAGGAAGUUCCAACUAGACCAAUAUUAUUUUUUCCUUUCUAUUCUUCUGCCUGAGUACUGCCCAGCAGAAGUUAGAUUAAUUAUUUUAACAUAAUAUCUAAUAUUAAAAUCGAAUUGUGGGGAAGAAUAGAACUUGUGAACUGAUUCCAAAACAAAUGUAAUGGAAAGCAAUCGAGUAAAGCUUUUGGAGAUCUCAUUUAUUUUUCCUCUUCAUAUCCAUUAGCCAUAGAUCAUGGCUAAUUGUUUCUCAAAAAAAUAUUGCUUAACUAGUUCUGUGAAAACAUCUUGUCAUUUGUCUAAAAUUGAAUUUGGUCGAUGGAAAUGGAUUAAAAGAGAUGGAAGGAGAUUAGAAAGUACCUGAUACAAAGACAAGGAGGACUAGAAGAACAUAGGAUAGCCUGGCCAUCUUCUUCUAUGACAGAUAGAAAUGCUAUGUUGUUCAAGCUUACCUCCGCUUUGGUGAUGAAAUAGAUUAUAAGACUUCAUAUUUAUAAUCACUUGAUGCAUGAUCUGUCAUAGAUUUUUUUGCCAUUUUUGGAUGAUACAUUUAGAGAAAGUGAUCUUUAAGAUUUUUUUUUUUGGGUAAACUUUUAACAUCCAUUGGUUGGAGGUAUAUAAUUUGGCAUGAGAAAAUAAAUGCCAUAUUCGAUUAUCAUAUUUAGUGCGAAAGUGCUAUCAGAUAUUGUAACAUAAAUGAUGGAUCCUCUAUAUAUUUUGAGAUAUUAUCAGAUUACCACAUAAUCUGACAUACACCAAACAAGCAAACCCUUAAGAUUUUUUUGUAUUCUCUAGGAUGUGAUAAUUUCUGGAUGGCAAAGUCAAAGAAGGAAGAAUCUUCAAGAUUUUACUUUCUAGUAAGUAAAUCAUCUAUAUUUUCGCUCUAGAUAUUCAGCAAUCCAAGGAUAUCCAGCAAGCACCUUCUUAUGUUGUCCGUUUCUUCUGGUCCUUACCUUGAUGUGCCGUUACACUUUAGAUUUAGCAUUUAUUGGCGGACAGCGUUAUCAUGAGAGGGAAAAACCAAAUAAAGCGAAUGCCUUGCACCAAAGCCAGCGAGAGAGCGAUUAAAAAAACCAAAUAAAGCGAAAGCGAAGCACCAAAGCGCUCUCGUCUUUUUCGCCACCUCCUCUUCCUCUUCCUCCUCCUCCUCUCUCUCUUUAUCUCUUUCCAAAUGGCCGCCGUGGGAGCCGGGGAGAAGCCAGGGAUACGGUUCCGCCGCGCCGCUGUGGCUGUUCCGGCGGAGGGGGCGAGGGUCUGAGCCUGUGAUGCCGGAGGGAGGCGGCGCUUCUUCUCUCCAGCUGCCGAGGUGCCGGAAAAGAGGUGUUUUGGGGUUUUCUGGUGGGGUAAAGGUUGGUUUUUGCUAGGGGUUUUUGGUAGGAGGAGAUGGCGAUGGUGGUGGCAGGGCAGGGAGUGGGGAAGGAGGCGGGGAAGAUGCAGCAAGGAAUGGAAGCGGGGAAGUAUGUGAGGUUCACGCCGGAGCAGGUGGAGGCGCUCGAGAGGGUCUACAGCGAGUGCCCCAAGCCCAGCUCCAUGAGGCAGCAGCAGCUCAUCCGGGAGUGCCCGAUUCUCGCUAACAUCGAGCCCAAGCAGAUCAAAGUCUGGUUCCAGAACCGCAGGUAAAAAAAUAAAAAAACGAGGCCAGAAAGCCAGGCCAGGUGUGGGAUUUGGUGAAGAAAAAAAAACGGUUUCUUUUUAGAUUUUUAGGUUUUUCCAUUUCUUUUGUUCUUCUUUUUCGUUUGAUUUUUAGUGGAAGAAGGGUAAGGGAUUAGAAAGCAUGGAUCUUUAAGAAAUUGACGAGGAUUUUGAUGCGUUUUCUUUUUUCCCUCUUCGAACUAAAUACCCCAACGGCCACGUUUGUUUUCAGUAGUUCUGUAUCUCCUCUUUGGAGAUCUCAUGAGUCGUCCUGAUCAAUUGCCGAGGAAGGCCCUGCACCCCACCGGACCAAGUCCGGUUGUCCUGCUCUUGCCUUAGGUCCUGCCGGUCCUCGGGUCCUCCGAGUGCCGGCAGGACCUCUUCACUGGCCUUGUGCGCUGACCGGCAGGACCUCUUCACUGGCCUUGUGCGCUCUGGUCACCCUUUUUCAGAUGCCCACCACCUGCUCGAUGAAAACGCCCAAUUAGCCACAGGAACCUCAAAGCCUCGCUACAGGUUGUCCUCGUUUUUAUAUUUUCAUUGGCAAUAAUCCGCCUCACCAAGGAACCCUUAUGUUUUUGAGGCUUUUCUUUCAUUCUCUUACCAAUAUUUUAAUUUGGACGUGAUAAAUUAUAUUGGCUUGAUUCAACUGCUGAACUAUUGGAUGCGUUGGCUGAAGCGUGACUGAUAAAUACGGGACUGCUGUGCUGAAGUCUUAGCAUUUCCUUUUAAUGACAAUUGGUAGCCACUCUUAAUUUAUCUUUUAGCUCUGAGUCUGAGAUAAGAAAUUAUCAAAUCAGAUUAGAAGAAGUCUUAUCUGAAGGUUAAGAAAGUAUUGGCUUUAGAAGCAGGGAUUGGAAGCAAGAAAUGAUCUUUUAUCUGCAAUCUAUGAAUUUCUCUAGCAAUGUACUAAUCUUUAUAUUAUGUCUCAACUAAUCUGGCGGGUCUCACGCUUAAAUCCAUUUCAAACCUGCUGUUGGGAGGCCAUAUAUAAUAUCGAUAUCUAGGGGUUUAUAUGCAAGUUUAUUCAAAAUUGAACUAGUCUUGGCAUGCUGCGUGCGGGUUUUAGCUUGCAUUCGUGAAGUAGACCCUGCAAGUCGCAUGCUGGCUGGCACUAGAUCAAAUUUGGCACAAAUGCAGGGAUUACCUUGCAUAUUUGAAAAGUAGAUCCUGCAGCCUGCGGGAGCUGCGGGACUAGAUCAAAUUUGGCAGAAAGAUCUUAUGUCUAAUAUAUAUCUUUGACAGGGGGUUAGGUGUGAUAAUUCUUUUCUCCAUAGAGUUGCGGGGACUAUAUAGGCUAUAGCUCAAAUUCGCAUGACGGGACUCCUUCUAAGACGUGCUAAUAUUACAUUCAAGUCCCUUCGUUUUUUGGCAAUCUCUUAAACCGCAAACAUAGAUCGACCUGCAAGAGAUGUCUUUAGAAAACUGGGCUCCGUAUGGUUUGGAUUACAUGAGUUUUUAUCCCCACUUUAUCUGGGAUAAAUAGCCAAGUGACCAAAAAGCUUUCAUCUUGGGGAAGUUAUAGCUGAGGCAUCAUCCCGAAUAAGUCACUAAAAUUGUAUUAAAAACUCGGCAAUUGCAGUGCAAGGAGGAGGGGCUACACAAUGAUUAGAUUGUAAGCACUCUGAAAGAAGGUUCAGUCUGAAUUUUAUUCAUAAACGCACAAUCUUUAGUCCACAUCCUCAAAGGUAGACGAUUGCAUAUCUCAACAGAACAGUGAUAACAUUUGCUCAAUUAACAAUUAUAACUGCAUGCACACAUAACAAAGUUAUUUGCAUCAGGAUUUGGGACACAAUAUCCAUUUCCAUGUUUAUACCAUUUUGCGCAAGCCCAAUGGCAGGAUACAUUGAGGCAUUCGUAUUUGUUACUCAUCAAGAAAAUUAAACAUUUCUUCUGAGCAUCCACCUUUGGCACCAUCAUGACAUCAUCUCAGCUUCAAAUAUGUGAAAAAAAUUACAAGUAUCAAUUAAAAACAAAAGACAAAUGUUCAAAGCAUAUAUUAAAAAAUGUAUUAAUGCAUUUUAUUCGAAGCACUCUACUAAUUUUGCUGAAUACCAAAUGCCAUGCCCCCGCCUCGGCCGGGCACGUGAGACACCCAGUGUCCACGUGGAGGCCACAUGAGGGAGGAACACGGAACUCCCUUGCCACAUAUUGUCCGAUUUCGGGGCUCCCACGCGCGCGCACGCGCCGCUCAGACCCCUCUCCGGUUUUGUUUUCCACCCAAAAUUGAUCUGCAGGAUUUAAAGACACCUACCUCAUAUGUUUAGGCUCUAGAACGAGUCUAGCCGAUGUGGGAUCUUUCAUUCACCCACCCUCAGACUAGAGCCGUCCUGGGCUCUGAUACCAAAUGUUAUGCUCCUGCCUCCACGAGGCACGUGCGGUACCCAGUGCCCGCGUGGGGCCACAUGAGGGGGGAACACAGGGCUCCUCUGCCAGAUAUUGUCCGAUUUCAGGGCCUGCACGCACACCGCAUGCACCGCUUAGACCCCUCCUCUGCCAGAUGUAUCCAGGAUACUGUGAUUUCACUGUUGGAAACCGUGAUAUAUGUAUCGGAAGGCAAACAAGACGGCAGAUUGAGUUGCCUCCUUUGCUACCCAUCAUUUCACAAAGGUCUCAUGGACAUGUGCUAAUACCCCCACCUUUAUGUUUCUUAACUCAGUUGGUUGCACGCAUGCUAGAUUAACGUGAGUGACCGUUGUACCAAAAAAAUAAAAAAUCCAUUCUUACAUUAUAAUGACCAUCACUGAUUGGGCUGCUAGUUAGUUUUAGUUGCAAUCGUGAACCAGAAAUGAAGGAAAAUGUAACUGCCACUUCGAAGAGAGGCCAUGGCUUCUCUAGACCUUGCAUACUUUUGAACAUGUUUGUAGGUUCAUAGGUUCAUUUUGGAGCAAACUAUCAACUCAUAUGCUAUGCCAUGGAAAGGUAAUAAUACUCGAGCAUGAUGCUCACAUGGGAAGAUGGAGUUGUAUUUUUCAGUCUGUAAAGGCUUGUGUACUGGAGGAAGAAAAUUAGAAAGGAAGGUCAACUAGACCAAUAUUAUUUUUUCCUUUCUAUUCUUCUGCUUGAGUACUGCCCAGCAGAAGUUAAAUUAAUUAUUUUAACAUAAUAUCUAAUAUUAAAAUCGGAUU
Molecule: long non-coding RNA, 5158 nt
Filed under: Phoenix dactylifera (date palm)
Lineage: Eukaryota; Viridiplantae; Streptophyta; Magnoliopsida; Arecales; Arecaceae
Description: long non-coding RNA (PDAC_LNC001449)
Source: RNAcentral